CCUACGGGAGGCAGCAGUGAGGAAUAUUGGUCAAUGGGCGAGAGCCUGAACCAGCCAAGUCGCGUGAAGGAUGACGGCCCUACGGGUUGUAAACUUCUUUUGUGAGGGAGCAAUUGAGUCCACGUGUGGUCUUAGCGAGAGUACCUGAAGAAAAAGCAACGGCUAACUCCGUGCCAGCAGCCGCGGUAAUACGGAGGAGGGGAGCGUUAUCCGGAUGUAUUGGGUUAAAGGGGUGCGUAGGCGGAAUAUCAAGUCAGCGGUAAAAAUUCGGGGUUCAACCCCGUCGUGCCGUUGAAACUGAUGGUCUUGAGUGGGCGAGAGGUAUGCGGAAUGCGUGGUGUAGCGGUGAAAUGCAUAGAUAUCACGCAGAACUCCGAUUGCGAAGGCAGCAUACCGGCGCCCAACUGACGCUGAAGCACGAAAGCGUGGGUAUCGAACAGGAUUAGAUACCCGUGUAGUC
RNAcentral lists this ribosomal RNA (460 nucleotides) under uncultured bacterium. RNAcentral's name for it is "partial 16S ribosomal RNA". It matches the Rfam family "Bacterial small subunit ribosomal RNA", at positions 338 to 795 of the family's 1533-position model. The record is from RNAcentral.